UCUACGGGGGGCAGCAGUGAGGAAUAUUGGUCAAUGGCCGGAAGGCUGAACCAGCCAAGCCGCGUGAAGGACGAAGGUGCCAAGCAUUGUAAACUUCUUUUGUCAAGGGACAAAAUCAGGCUCGAGAGCCUGACCGAGGGUACUUGAAGAAAAAGCAUAGGCUAACUCCGUGCAAGCAGCCGCGGUAAUAAGGAGGAUGCGAGCGUUAUCCGGAUUUAUUGGGUUUAAAGGGGUCGUAGGCGGGCUGGUAAGUCAGUGGUAAAAGCCCGGGGCUCAACCCCGGCGAGCCGUUGAAACUGGCUGUCUUGAGAUGUCGGGAGGUAUGCGGAAUGCGCAGUGUAGCGGUGAAAUGCUUAGAUAUUGCGCAGAACACCAGUGGCGAAGGCGGUCUGCUGGACAGCAACUGACGGUGAGGCGCGAAAGCGUGGGGAGCAAACAGGAUUAGAUACCCGAGUAGUC
This 459-nucleotide ribosomal RNA is filed under the name uncultured bacterium. Its description in RNAcentral is "partial 16S ribosomal RNA". It matches the Rfam family "Bacterial small subunit ribosomal RNA", at positions 338 to 795 of the family's 1533-position model. The record is from RNAcentral.